RNAcentral lists this transfer RNA (73 nucleotides) under Bos taurus (domestic cattle). It matches the Rfam family "tRNA". From Rfam's summary of the family: Transfer RNA (tRNA) molecules are approximately 80 nucleotides in length. Their secondary structure includes four short double-helical elements and three loops (D, anti-codon, and T loops). Further hydrogen bonds mediate the characteristic L-shaped molecular structure. tRNAs have two regions of fundamental functional importance: the anti-codon, which is responsible for specific mRNA codon recognition, and the 3' end, to which the tRNAs corresponding amino acid is attached (by aminoacyl-tRNA synthetases). tRNAs cope with the degeneracy of the genetic code in two manners: having more than one tRNA (with a specific anti-codon) for a particular amino acid; and 'wobble' base-pairing, i.e. permitting non-standard base-pairing at the 3rd anti-codon position. RNAcentral also lists the same sequence under 3 other names. The record is from Rfam by way of RNAcentral. Lineage: Eukaryota; Metazoa; Chordata; Mammalia; Artiodactyla; Bovidae.
UCCCUGGUGGUCCAGCAGCUAUGACUCUGGGCUCCCAAUGCAGCAGGCCCAGGUUCGAUCCCUGGUCAGGAAA